Molecule: long non-coding RNA, 1801 nt
Organism: Mya arenaria
Lineage: Eukaryota; Metazoa; Mollusca; Bivalvia; Myida; Myidae
Exons: 3
Source: RefSeq, a predicted model, not a curated record
UGAUAACAGUUUUCUGAAUACUUGAAACCUGAAAACACUUCGGAGAAACCAAUAUGAAAAUAUAAAUAUCAUUAUAGAAAGGAUAAAUAGCAAAAUCGUUAACGGACUUACAGAUACAGUAAAAUGGCGAGUAAAACUAAAGACUGGCGGGCAGAACUAACAGCUUCAGGAUGUUUAAAACACAUUGUACAAGAAAAACUGUUCACAGACGUCACGUUUAUCUUCCCAAAUGGCAACGAGUCCUGCACUGGGCACAAGCUAAUACUCAGCAUGAGGAGUGCUGUUUUUGAAGCCAUGUUUUACGGCCCCAUGUCAAACGGCGAUGGCGAAGUUACAAUCAGCGAUAUCGAUAAGAAGACUUUCGAGAUGGUGCUGCGAUACGUGUGUACUGAUGAGCUUGGUGUAGAUGGAGAAACAGUAUUGAGUGUUUGUAUGCAGCAAAAAAGUACUGCAUCGACGGGAUGGUAAAGAUGUGCUCAGAUUUCUUAGAAGCGUCUGUUGCCGUUGAUAAUGCUUGCUCAAAUUAUGAGCACGCAAAAUUUUACGAACUGCAAGGGCUUCUUGAAAAAUGCAAAUCAAACGACAAACGCCUAAGAUAUACUAAAAAAUGAUGCUUUUUUUAGUCUAACGAAUCAAAGCCUUGCAGAGCUCCUUGCAAAUGGGCAACUCAAACCAAACGAGGCACUGUAUUUUGAUGCCGCCAACCGUUGGUCCGAACAUGAAUGUUUAAAAAGGGAUUUAGAGAUUUCUCUUAGAACAAGCAAAAGCUGCUAGGUCAAGCGCUGAAGGAAAUCAAAUUCGGACUGGUGACACCUCAAGAAUUUGCAGAGCAUGUUCCUGAGACUGGACUUUUAGAUAAAGAUGACCAAUUGGAUAUCUACAGGUGGAUAAUAACAAAAAACCUUCAUGGGUCGCAAGUAUGUGAUAAGUUUAAGUCAUUUCCGCGUCAAUCACAGACAUUGCCGAUAACCUUGAAUACAUCCAACUGUACCGAGGGAACAACGUUGCCAAAUGAAUCUCGGUUUACGAUUCAAAGCAAUCAACCCAUACGGAUAACAUCGAUAGCAAUGAAAACAUCGAGUUACCAAUUGUCAUCAGUAACGGUGAGCGAAUCUGAAGAGGAAGAACGGCCCAUACCACUCUCAAACAUCAACAUUCGAGUUUCGAACACAUACGAUUUCAAAGAAGCUGUAAAUGUAAAGGCAAACACAACCGUCACAUUCAAGUUCAAAUUCCAAAAGAAGAAAAUACACACAGAUUAUGGUAUUAUAACUAAAAAUGUGAGUCACAAACAUUAUCAUCCCAUUGAACCCGAGCAUGUCUUUGGUGGGCUGUUAGUGAAAUGCACCGACUUUUCAGAAUAUUUGUUAACGAUAAAAAUAAAGUGUUGUUGACAUUAUUUUCCGGAAAAAUGUUUCUUAUGUUCCAAGUUAUUAUGACUUUUUAUGUUUGUUGUUGUGCUAAACAGUCUUCAGAAAGCGUGCUUUCCAAACUAUGAACAUUGAAACUUAAUUGGAUUUAUGUACAUUUUAAUGAUAUAAAAUACUAAUAGUGAGUCUUAUAAAAUAAAUCGACGUUUUCCUUUGCAAUAAUACUCCGUGAUACAUUUUACAAAGUGACAUACGCUUACAGGGUGAAAUCAAAAGCAUAUUAUUGUAAUCACAUCAUUAAUUAACAUGAUUUGCUACUUAAGUCUGAAUUGAAAUUUGAGAGGGUGCGUUUUCAUUACCCCAGAUAGAUUUAAACCUCACUAUAAGUGCACAAAUAAAACAUGCCGUUGGAAUUUUCGUUAAGUAUUAUU